UUAUAGGGGUACUUUUCCGGGAUCCAUGCGAUAUAAAGUGUACGCCCCUUUAGGGGGACAGCUUAGGUUGAGAGCGACUGGCGUUCCCUUAACGCUAUAGAGGUUAGUGACUAUGUGAAUAACUCCUCAACAGAUCACAUCAGAGGACUACACUCUGGACGACAUCCUCUUCUACGUAACGAGGGAUGACUUGAAGAGCUUGCGAUUACGAGGUGGGGUGCUGUGUCGAUUGUGGAACGCCAUCUUGGAACAUCGGGAAAAGAAGCCAUCUUGAAAGCAAGCUGAAAAAAGAAAAGAACACAACAGAAAAGAAGAAGAGGGAAAGGAAGAGGACGGAGGGAUAGUAAGACAAGAAAGAACAAAAGGGCCUCAACAACAACAACAACAGAUCCACCUCCCAGCAUGCCUCAGCAGCAGCAGCAGCAGUAUUCCCUUUUCUCCUGACACUGCACUUGAUGCCCAGUGUUUGAAUGAAAGACCAAAAUGCACUCCCUCCGGCCCAGCUACGGCCCAGCCCUGGCCCCAGCUGCCGACCGCCAUGGAGGCCACCACGCGAGGAGAGUUGUUUACCUUACGAGACAGACACACAGGCAAGGUAUAUACAGGGCAUCCUGAAAAAAACAUGUACACACUGGAAACCAUUGUCAAGUACAGUGGGUGUUUAUAAAAAAAACAAAUUUAAAGUGUGAUAGAUAGCGCUUACAGAUAUUAUUUUAUUGUUUUUUUCACAACCUGUCCUCAAACUGACAUCCAUUCUGGUUCAGCCUCUGCUGACAACGCCACAUAGCUAUGAACAGCAGAAAGACAUUUGAAGAGUUCAGAUGCAAAACCCCCUAACUCCAUUUCUGAAGACCUGCACUUCUAUAUUUUUAGAGAACCCCGUUGUUGGUUUGGUUUACAUUCAUGUACUUGAUAAUACAUAUACAUAGUUAUAUUGCAUAAAUAAAAUGAAAAAUAUGCAAUUUUGACAGCUUUAUAUUAAAUACAAAUUAAUUAAGAUUAUUUUCUGAAAAGGCACUUAGGGGGUUUUGCAUCUGAACUCUUCAUUGGGGCCCAGGGGACUAUACUACAAAGCUGGUUCAGGAGUAAACCAGGUUAAGUUAAACCAUCUAAUAGAAGAGUCUGGAGUCCUCCUUUAUAGUACACUGAACGUACAUUGAAAUUACAUGCAUUUUAAA
Engraulis encrasicolus (European anchovy) is the source of this 1178-nucleotide long non-coding RNA. RefSeq lists it as uncharacterized. The transcript is spliced from 2 exons. The record is from RefSeq and is a predicted model, not a curated record. Lineage: Eukaryota; Metazoa; Chordata; Actinopteri; Clupeiformes; Engraulidae.